This 176-nucleotide ribosomal RNA is filed under the name uncultured bacterium. RNAcentral's name for it is "partial 16S ribosomal RNA". It matches the Rfam family "Bacterial small subunit ribosomal RNA", at positions 1327 to 1500 of the family's 1533-position model. The record is from RNAcentral.
UGGAAUCGCUAGUAAUCGCGGAUCAGAAUGCCGCGGUGAAUACGUUCCCGGGUCUUGUACACACCGCCCGUCACACCAUGGGAGUCGGAAAUGCCCGAAGUCUGUGACCCAACCUGAGAGGGAGGGAGCAGCCGAAGGCAGGUCUGAUGACUGGGGUGAAGUCGUAACAAGGUAGC